GCUAGAAUUUCCAGUAAACCAGCACCAGCCUGAAGAUCACUUUCUCAUCGAAAGGUGGAAAGAAGAAAAACUUGAGCCAGCCUGGGAAGGACCUUACCUUGUGCUGCUAACCAGCAAGAGUGCUGUUCAUACAGCAAAAAAAGGAGGGACUCAUCACACCCGAGUCAAGAAAGUGCCACCCCCUCCAGAGUCAUGGGCCAUAGUCCCAGGGGAAAACCCUACCAAACUAAAGUUUUUUCUAGUGGGCCCAACCUCCAAGACCAUCCUUAAACAUCAGUAGACUGGGAGCUGUACACGGAUGGGAGCAGCUUCGCCAACCCUGCAAAGUGACUCUGAAAAAGACGACAAGCCCUGCUCCAGUCACACCUGGAAGCUGACUAGUCCAUGCAUGGCCGAAGCAUGAGGAAACUCAUCGUGGGACUCAUUUUCCUUAAAAUUUGGACUUGUACAGUAAGGACUUCAACUGACCUUCCUCAGACUGAGGGCUGUUCCCAGUGUAUACAUCAAAUCACUGAGUUGGACAAAAGGUUGCUACAGUCCUAUUAUUUUAUGGUUAUUGUAAGUGUACUGGAACUCUAAAAAGAACUUGUUUGUAUAAUAUUAUUCUAUACAAGGUACGUAGCCCAGGAAAUGACCAACCUGAUAUGUGUUAUGACCCAUCUGAGUCUCCCAUGACCACAGUUCUCAAAAUAAGAUUAAGAACUAAGGACAGGUGGGAGCUCAUAAAUGAUAUGAGUAAAGUGUUAGCCAAAACAGAAAAAAAAAAAAAAGGUUGCCCUAACAAGUCACCUUAAAAUUUGAUGCCUGUGCUAUCAUUAAUAGUAAUAAGUUAGGAAUAAGGUGUGGUUCUCUUAGUUAGAAAAGAGGCUACAUUGCAGAAAAUAAGUACAUCUGUCAUAAAUUAGGACUGUGUGGAAAUAAAUGUAAAUACUG
This is a non-coding RNA of Macaca mulatta (Rhesus monkey), 933 nucleotides long. The record is from RefSeq and is a predicted model, not a curated record. Lineage: Eukaryota; Metazoa; Chordata; Mammalia; Primates; Cercopithecidae.